Long non-coding RNA from Lynx canadensis (Canada lynx), 113 nucleotides. RefSeq lists it as uncharacterized. The record is from RefSeq and is a predicted model, not a curated record. The transcript has 3 exons. NCBI's taxonomy places the organism in Eukaryota, Metazoa, Chordata, Mammalia, Carnivora, Felidae.
UUUUAAAUUUAAAUCCAAGUUAGUCAACAAAUAGUGUAAUAAUGACGUCAGCAAUAGAAUUUAGUAAUUCAUCACUUACAUAUAACACCCAGUGUUCAUGCCAACAAGUACAU